This 700-nucleotide ribosomal RNA is filed under the name Actinomycetes bacterium. Its description in RNAcentral is "bacterial SSU rRNA". It matches the Rfam family "Bacterial small subunit ribosomal RNA", at positions 94 to 809 of the family's 1533-position model. The record is from RNAcentral. Lineage: Bacteria; Bacillati; Actinomycetota; Actinomycetes.
AGCGGCGAACGGGUGAGUAACACGUGAGCAACCUGCCCCAGGCUUUGGGAUAACCCCGGGAAACCGGGGCUAAUACCGAAUAUGACCUCGCACCGCAUGGUGUUUGGUGGAAAGUUUUUCGGCUUGGGAUGGGCUCGCGGCCUAUCAGCUUGUUGGUGGGGUGAUGGCCUACCAAGGCGACGACGGGUAGCCGGCCUGAGAGGGCGACCGGCCACACUGGGACUGAGACACGGCCCAGACUCCUACGGGAGGCAGCAGUGGGGAAUAUUGCACAAUGGGCGGAAGCCUGAUGCAGCGACGCCGCGUGAGGGAUGACGGCCUUCGGGUUGUAAACCUCUUUCAGCAGGGACGAAGCGUAAGUGACGGUACCUGCAGAAGAAGCGCCGGCCAACUACGUGCCAGCAGCCGCGGUAAGACGUAGGGCGCGAGCGUUGUCCGGAUUUAUUGGGCGUAAAGAGCUCGUAGGCGGCUUGUCGCGUCGACCGUGAAAACCUGGGGCUCAACCCCAGGCCUGCGGUCGAUACGGGCAGGCUAGAGUUCGGUAGGGGAGACUGGAAUUCCUGGUGUAGCGGUGAAAUGCGCAGAUAUCAGGAGGAACACCGGUGGCGAAGGCGGGUCUCUGGGCCGAUACUGACGCUGAGGAGCGAAAGCGUGGGGAGCGAACAGGAUUAGAUACCCUGGUAGUCCACGCUGUAAACGU